This 460-nucleotide ribosomal RNA is filed under the name Klebsiella pneumoniae. RNAcentral's name for it is "partial 23S ribosomal RNA". It matches the Rfam family "Bacterial large subunit ribosomal RNA", at positions 395 to 859 of the family's 2925-position model. Lineage: Bacteria; Pseudomonadati; Pseudomonadota; Gammaproteobacteria; Enterobacterales; Enterobacteriaceae. The record is from RNAcentral.
GGCUGUGAACUCGAAGAGUAGGGCGGGACACGUGGUAUCCUGUCUGAAUAUGGGGGGACCAUCCUCCAAGGCUAAAUACUCCUGACUGACCGAUAGUGAACCAGUACCGUGAGGGAAAGGCGAAAAGAACCCCGGCGAGGGGAGUGAAAAAGAACCUGAAACCGUGUACGUACAAGCAGUGGGAGCACCUUCGGGUGUGACUGCGUACCUUUUGUAUAAUGGGUCAGCGACUUAUAUUCUGUAGCAAGGUUAACCGUAUAGGGGAGCCGCAGGGAAACCGAGUCUUAACUGGGCGUUAAGUUGCAGGGUAUAGACCCGAAACCCGGUGAUCUAGCCAUGGGCAGGUUGAAGGUUGGGUAACACUAACUGGAGGACCGAACCGACUAAUGUUGAAAAAUUAGCGGAUGACUUGUGGCUGGGGGUGAAAGGCCAAUCAAACCGGGAGAUAGCUGGUUCUCCC